Molecule: ribosomal RNA, 304 nt
Filed under: uncultured Pseudoalteromonas sp.
Lineage: Bacteria; Pseudomonadati; Pseudomonadota; Gammaproteobacteria; Alteromonadales; Pseudoalteromonadaceae
Description: bacterial SSU rRNA
Rfam family: Bacterial small subunit ribosomal RNA
Source: RNAcentral
AUUGAACGCUGGCGGCAGGCCUAACACAUGCAAGUCGAGCGGAAACGAAGAGGAGCUUGCUCCUUUGGCGUCGAGCGGCGGACGGGUGAGUAAUGCUUGGGAAUGUGCCUUAUGGUGGGGGACAACAGUUGGAAACGGCUGCUAAUACCGCAUAAUGUCUUCGGACCAAAGGGGGCUUCGGCUCUCGCCUUUAGAUUGGCCCAAGUGGGAUUAGCUAGUUGGUGAGGUAAUGGCUCACCAAGGCGACGAUCCCUAGCUGGUUUGAGAGGAUGAUCAGCCACACCGGGACUGAGACACGGCCCAG